UGGGGAAUAUUGGACAAUGGGGGGAACCCUGAUCCAGCCAUGCCGCGUGUGUGAAGAAGGCCUUAUGGUUGUAAAGCACUUUAAGCGAGGAGGAGGGUACUGGUAUUAAUACUACCAGGUACUGGACGUUACUCGCAGAAUAAGCACCGGCUAACUCUGUGCCAGCAGCCGCGGUAAUACAGAGGGUGCAAGCGUUAAUCGGAAUUACUGGGCGUAAAGCGCGCGUAGGUGGUUCGUUAAGUUGAAUGUGAAAGCCCCGGGCUCAACCUGGGAACUGCCUCCAAAACUGGCGAGCUAGAGUAGGGCAGAGGGUGGUGGAAUUUCCUGUGUAGCGGUGAAAUGCGUAGAUAUAGGAAGGAACACCAGUGGCGAAGGCGACCACCUGGGCUCAUACUGACACUGAGGUGCGAAAGCGUGGGGAGCAAACAGG
Molecule: ribosomal RNA, 430 nt
Filed under: Pseudomonadota bacterium
Lineage: Bacteria; Pseudomonadati; Pseudomonadota
Description: Proteobacteria bacterium partial 16S ribosomal RNA
Rfam family: Bacterial small subunit ribosomal RNA
Source: RNAcentral